CGUCGGCCGACCGGACGCGACGGGUGCGUAACGCGUAUGUAACCUACCUUUGACAGGGGGAUAACAUCGAGAAAUUGGUACUAAUACCCCAUAACAUCACCGGAGGCAUCUUCGGUGGUUGAAAACUCAGGUGGUCAGAGAUGGACAUGCGUUGUAUUAGCUAGUUGGUGAGGUAACGGCUCACCAAGGCGACGAUACAUAGGGGGACUGAGAGGUCAACCCCCCACAUUGGUACUGAGACACGGACCAAACUCCUACGGAAGGCAGCAG
This 270-nucleotide ribosomal RNA is filed under the name uncultured bacterium. Its description in RNAcentral is "partial 16S ribosomal RNA". It matches the Rfam family "Bacterial small subunit ribosomal RNA", at positions 78 to 354 of the family's 1533-position model. The record is from RNAcentral.